RNAcentral lists this ribosomal RNA (253 nucleotides) under uncultured bacterium. RNAcentral describes it as "partial 16S ribosomal RNA". It matches the Rfam family "Bacterial small subunit ribosomal RNA", at positions 524 to 776 of the family's 1533-position model. The record is from RNAcentral.
UACAGAGGGUGCAAGCGUUACUCGGAAUUACUGGGCGUAAAGCGUGCGUAGACGGUUAUGUAAGUCGGGUGUGAAAGCCCCGGGCUCAACCUGGGAAUGCCAUUCGAGACUGCGUAGCUAGGGUGCGGAAGAGGGAAGCGGAAUUUCCGGUGUAGCGGUGAAAUGCGUAGAUAUCGGAAGGAACACCAGUGGCGAAAGCGGCUUCCUGGUCCAGCACCGACGUUCAGGCACGAAAGCGUGGGGAGCAAACAGG